RNAcentral lists this ribosomal RNA (468 nucleotides) under uncultured bacterium. Its description in RNAcentral is "partial 16S ribosomal RNA". It matches the Rfam family "Bacterial small subunit ribosomal RNA", at positions 28 to 507 of the family's 1533-position model. The record is from RNAcentral.
GACGAACGCUGGCGGCGUGCUUAACACAUGCAAGUCGAACGGAAAGGCCCUGCUUUUGUGGGGUGCUCGAGUGGCGAACGGGUGAGUAACACGUGAGUAACCUGCCCUUGACUUUGGGAUAACUUCAGGAAACUGGGGCUAAUACCGGAUAGGAGCUCCUGCUGCAUGGUGGGGGUUGGAAAGUUUCGGCGGUUGGGGAUGGACUCGCGGCUUAUCAGCUUGUUGGUGGGGUAGUGGCUUACCAAGGCUUUGACGGGUAGCCGGCCUGAGAGGGUGACCGGCCACAUUGGGACUGAGAUACGGCCCAGAAUCCAACGGGAGGCAGCAGUGGGGAAUAUUGCACAAUGGGCGGAAGCCUGAUGCAGCAACGCCGCGUGCGGGAUGACGGCCUUCGGGUUGUAAACCGCUUUCGCCUGUGACGAAGCGUGAGUGACGGUAAUGGGUAAAGAAGCACCGGCUAACUACGUG